RNAcentral lists this long non-coding RNA (317 nucleotides) under Equus asinus (donkey). Its description in RNAcentral is "lncRNA (ENSEASG00005024123.1)". The record is from RNAcentral. Lineage: Eukaryota; Metazoa; Chordata; Mammalia; Perissodactyla; Equidae.
UGUCAACUCGGCAGCUGUGCCCUGACAGAGGUUUGAGGUUAAUCCACACACAACCCCCAAGAGGAAAGUACAGUCUAGUGGACAGGAGCAUGACCUGGAGUCAGAGGCCCUGGGUUCAAAUCCUGGCUCUGUUACUUCCAAGCUGUGCAACUGUGGGAUGAAGACAAGCGAGGGGCUGGCCCCGCAGAGACGCCCAGCUCUGCCCAGCUGCACCGACAGCAGGACUCACCAGAUUCUGAGUAAACACGGAAACGUCCUCUGUGCUGUUGUCAGAAUUCACGCGCACCAAUCUUCUAAGUCUGGCGGAACUUACAAUC